RNAcentral lists this ribosomal RNA (301 nucleotides) under uncultured bacterium. RNAcentral describes it as "partial 16S ribosomal RNA". It matches the Rfam family "Bacterial small subunit ribosomal RNA", at positions 509 to 807 of the family's 1533-position model. The record is from RNAcentral.
CAGUCGCCGCGGUAAUACGAAGGGUGCAAGCGUUAAUCGGAAUUACUGGGCGUAAAGCGUGCGUAGGCGGUUUGUUAAGUCUGUUGUGAAAUCCCCGGGCUCAACCUGGGAAUGGCAAUGGAUACUGGCAAGCUAGAGUGUGUCAGAGGAUGGUGGAAUUCCCGGUGUAGCGGUGAAAUGCGUAGAGAUCGGGAGGAACACCAGUGGCGAAGGCGGCCAUCUGGGACAACACUGACGCUGAGGCACGAAAGCGUGGGGAGCAAACAGGAUUAGAUACCCCCGUAGUCCCUGUCUCUUAUAC